UACGUAGGGUGCAAGCGUUGUCCGGAAUUAUUGGGCGUAAAGAGCUCGUAGGCGGUUUGUCGCGUCUGCUGUGAAAACUGGAGGCUCAACCUCCAGCCUGCAGUGGGUACGGGCAAACUAGAGUGCGGUAGGGGAGAUUGGAAUUCCUGGUGUAGCGGUGGAAUGCGCAGAUAUCAGGAGGAACACCGAUGGCGAAGGCAGAUCUCUGGGCCGUAACUGACGCUGAGGAGCGAAAGCAUGGGGAGCCAACAGG
Molecule: ribosomal RNA, 253 nt
Filed under: uncultured bacterium
Lineage: Bacteria
Description: partial 16S ribosomal RNA
Rfam family: Bacterial small subunit ribosomal RNA
Source: RNAcentral